Lepidothrix coronata (blue-crowned manakin) is the source of this 3199-nucleotide RNA transcript. It is a transcript of the gene named RAB19, member RAS oncogene family, with no coding region annotated. The record is from RefSeq and is a predicted model, not a curated record. The transcript is spliced from 4 exons. NCBI's taxonomy places the organism in Eukaryota, Metazoa, Chordata, Aves, Passeriformes, Pipridae.
CAGGGGCUCCUUCCUCGGGCCUGCGGCUCGUCCUCCCCCCCCCGCCCCGCUCCCGCCGCAGGCCCGCCCGGGAGCCGCGAUGCCGUUCCCCAGCUCCGGCGCGGACGAUGCCUUCGACUACCUGUUCAAGAUCAUCCUGAUCGGGGACUCCAACGUGGGGAAGACCUGCGUGGUGCACCGCUUCAAGACGGGGCAGUACAACGAGAAGCAGCAGAACACCAUCGGCGUCGACUUCACCGUGCGCUCGAUGGACAUCGACGGCAAGAAAGUAAAGAUCCAAGUGUGGGACACAGCUGGCCAAGAACGCUUCCGGACAAUAACCCAGUCUUAUUACAGGAGUGCCCAUGGGGCCAUCCUUGCCUAUGACCUUACUAGGAGGUCCACAUUUGAAUCCAUUCCUCAUUGGAUUCAUGAAAUUGAAAAGUAUGGUGCUGCAAACUUGGUCAUGAUGUUAAUUGGGAACAAAUCAGACUCACUGGAUAAGCGCCAGGUCCUGUUUGAAGACGCCUGCACGCUGGCAGAGAAGCACGGGCUCCUAGCUGUACUGGAGACAUCAGCAAAAGAAGCUCAAAACAUAGAAGAGGUGUUCAUGUUAAUGGCUAAGGAGCUAAUAGCCCGAAAUACCUUACAGCUUCAUGGAGAGAACCCUCCAAACAGCUUCUAUCUUGAUUCCAAGCCAGUGAUUGCCAGUCCAAGUGUGGAGAAGGCCCAGUGCCCCUGUUGAAGAGAAAUUUCAGGAAGAGCUUGGAAAUUGUCAUUCUUCUGAGGCUGUUUGAUGCAAUUGUAUUCAAUUGAUGAAAGUGUCCUCUCUGGCCUCAAGCCAUGUCUCUUGAUAUCUCUACCUUGGAGUUUGGCUUGUCUAACAGGCUUCCUUCUCCUCCUUCAAGAAACUAGUCUUAAACACCUCCCCAUUGUGCAACUAAACCAGGAGCAUGACCUCUUCUGGUUGGUUCUGUUUGGCAUCUUCCACACGGCCUUUGGGCAGUUACACUGAAUGGUUUCUGCAGGGACACUUUUCAAGCUGUCCUCGCCUGAAUGAAGAACAAGCUGCAGCAGUUGCUAACAAGGUUCUUCAGAGAGUAUACUGGUAAUGGUAUUAUUCAUGAGGUAAUACAUGAAGCCAUAAACUUUAAAAAAACCCCUUUACUGUGGCAUGUUAUUAUAGACUGUGAGAACCACUAGAUUAAAAUACAAACUCGGUGUAAUUUCUGCGGUUCUGCCUUUCCCCAUCAGAGAGCAGGUGGGAACACACAGCUGUGACAAGGCAAAGUGGCAUUAACUGCUACGGAACAUUCCAUUAAUGGUUUUGCUCCCCAGCAUCAUAUGCAAAUUCAGUGUGCUUCCUGACAGUAUCAUUAAUGCAUUUGUUCAAAGUAUAGCUUGUUUACACCACUAUUCUAAAAACUACUACUGUCCCUCAGGUUUCAGUUUUAAGAGCUGCACAUUCAGCUUGAAGAUGAGCUCAUUUGUUAAGUUUUUAUCUACUUGGAAGUGUUUCAAUCUUAGCUGUGGCACAUUACUUGCACUGCAGCCAUGCCAGAUGAGAUUGAAGCAGGACCUACCCAAUGAAACAGGAUAAUGAAAAAAAAAAAAGUAUUUUAAAAUGGAGCAAACUGACACCUCCCAGAAGCUGACUAGUUUGAAAGUCAACAUAACAGCAAGCCAGUGAAGUGGAAGGCAUAUAGCACUGCCUAUGUGGUCAGGCUUUGCUUCAUAUGCAGGAGACAGGCUCUUAAUUGCAAAAGCUGAGGUUCUUAUCUAAUCAUUCUAGUUAAUGUUUAAGUAUAGUUGGAAAGGAGACAGAGAAAGCAAUUUUCAGGUCCUGACAGAGGUGGAGAGCUCUAUCCUUGAGCCUUUUUUCAGGAAGGAGAUGCAUGCCUGUGCUUCUGGACAAGGAAUUGAAAGUGAAGCUUCCCCCCACCAGGUGAGUGCUCAAACGAAAGUGCUUUUAGGAGAUGCCCCUUCCAGCUGCGGGCUGCCAACAGGCAGCUUUUUCUGGGUCUCAGCUCUAAGAACACCACAUUUGGCUGGAGGUGUGUGUGUGGGGGGGCUUAAAUAGUCAUUGCUCAACGUACUGACUCCCGAAAUAAUUUUCAAGCACCACUCUCAUGCAAUUGUAUUAGGAACUGGAACAGGCAAUGCUGGGAUAUGGGAGCCCUUUGAGAAUAGUUUUAGACAUGCCCAGAGCUCCUUUUUCCUAAGAAUACUUCACCUUGUAAUAGGAAUGUGCAGUUUGAGAUGGGUCGGACUUUUAAAUAUUUUUUGAAGUAUUUUUCUUAUGCUGUUCUUCUAAAAAUCAGCACUCAGGUGCCUGCACAACCUCUGUCAAUGCAGUCACAUCAAGCUGUUGACUCUGGCUUGACAGCAAGUGACAAACAGCACAUCUAUAUAUAACAGGGCAGGAGCUUAGCAUAUUUGGAGUCCUGCAUUUCCUUGCUACUGCUGUGCCCAUGAAUAUCACUGCUUAUACAGUUUUCUCUGCUAAGUCUAGUUUUGCUAACCUGAAGUGAGGCUCACCACAACUAUAGUUUAAUAAUGUCUCUCUAAUGCUUGCAUUAAACUGACUUUGUAGCUACUUGAUCCCUGCAGUGAAGUCCUGUAUUGUAUCUCGAUCCCAGGGGAUUACAUGGGGGCUCUCCUUUUAAACUGCUGCAGCAUUGAUAAUUUCAGCUACACAAGUUUUGUUCCAAACCUGAGACACCCCAUAAGUUUCCUGCUAAGGCAAGGUGAGCUACUCUGUAUUUCAUUACAUGCAUCAGGCAUCCCCUCAAAGAUUACAAUCCACCUUGGGCUACAGUCAAAGGCAAGCUGUGCUACCACCAUUUGAACUGAAGCAGCAGAGGUUUUAACAAGUACUCUUAGCUUGUAUCAUCCCAUUCAGAGCAGUGAGAACGGGCAGCACACAUACUCUGCACUUACCACAAGAGGCAAAGUUCUGUAUCAAACUAAAUGUAUAUAUCCUGGCCUAGGGAGUAAAGUCAAGGCCCUUGAAGUGAGAGCAUGCAUCUUUUCCUGAAGAUUUUUGUUUUGAAAUCAAGACUUUGCUGGUAGGUUAUGGAGACUUGAUACCUUUUCAUCUUGACAUUACUCUGAUUGGCCUCUUCAGUUUCUGUACCUUAGGUAUGUGCUUGAAGAAAACAUAGCACAGCCUAAGUUGUCACCCUCCAUCUUUUUACAUUAAAACUUUGCCUUAUUUCUA